This 195-nucleotide non-coding RNA is filed under the name Bacillota bacterium. RNAcentral describes it as "Firmicutes bacterium (anaerobic digester metagenome) 6S RNA". It matches the Rfam family "6S / SsrS RNA". From Rfam's summary of the family: E. coli 6S RNA was the first non coding RNA to be sequenced, but its function was unknown until recently. It consists of 184 nucleotides that fold into an extended hairpin structure with a large single-stranded internal bulge. The 6S RNA specifically associates with RNA polymerase holoenzyme containing the sigma70 specificity factor. Lineage: Bacteria; Bacillati; Bacillota. The record is from RNAcentral.
AAUACCCUGCUGUGCGCGUGUCAAGCCGUGUAAGUUUUGAGCUAACACCAACAAUACGGGAGCCCGGGCUUUACAUGUGGCGCAUAGGCCCCAGCUUAGUGGAGUUUAGAGGGGAAAUGCAAAGCAUGUAAGAGGGCACCCACCUGCUGAGAGAGCAGUUCAAAACAACGGUCUAAACGGCAUGGUGGGGUUAUU